CGUGGGACCAGGCAAGAUGUUGGCAUAGCUGAACGAAGCUUCGGAUUCAGCCGUGCUACAUAAGGCCAUGCUCCCGCG
RNAcentral lists this microRNA precursor (78 nucleotides) under Ascaris suum (pig roundworm). RNAcentral's name for it is "microRNA asu-mir-72 precursor". Its record names the gene asu-mir-72. The stretch from base 7 to 72 matches the Rfam family "mir-72 microRNA precursor family". Lineage: Eukaryota; Metazoa; Nematoda; Chromadorea; Rhabditida; Ascarididae. The record is from miRBase by way of RNAcentral.